GGGCAUGCCUCUAGACUUUGCCUUACUGUUCAUGGACAGGCAGGGGACAGUGUAUGCGAGAGUAAUGUGGAGUUUAUGCCAGCUUCAGUCAGAUUAACCCAUGCUGAAUAAAUAGCAGUACUCCUACAUUA
Sorex araneus (European shrew) is the source of this 131-nucleotide small nucleolar RNA. The record is from Ensembl. Lineage: Eukaryota; Metazoa; Chordata; Mammalia; Eulipotyphla; Soricidae.